RNAcentral lists this ribosomal RNA (450 nucleotides) under uncultured bacterium. RNAcentral describes it as "bacterial SSU rRNA". It matches the Rfam family "Bacterial small subunit ribosomal RNA", at positions 354 to 796 of the family's 1533-position model. The record is from RNAcentral.
GUGGGGAAUUUUGCGCAAUGGGGGAAACCCUGACGCAGCAACGCCGCGUGAGUGAUGAAGGCUUUCGGGUCGUAAAGCUCUGUCAGAAGGGAAGAAAUGUAGGUGGCUAAUAUCCAUUCUACUUGACGGUACCUUCAAAGGAAGCACCGGCUAACUCCGUGCCAGCAGCCGCGGUAAUACGGAGGGUGCGAGCGUUGUUCGGAAUUAUUGGGCGUAAAGCGCGUGUAGGCGGUUUAUUAAGUCUGAUGUGAAAGCCCCGGGCUCAACCUGGGAAGUGCAUUGGAUACUGGUAGACUUGAGUACGGGAGAGGGUAGUGGAAUUCCUAGUGUAGGAGUGAAAUCCGUAGAUAUUAGGAGGAACACCGGUGGCGAAGGCGGCUGCCUGGACCGAUACUGACGCUGAGACGCGAAAGCGUGGGGAGCAAACAGGAUUAGAAACCCUUGUAGUCC